Molecule: transfer RNA, 75 nt
Filed under: Bacteroides sp.
Lineage: Bacteria; Pseudomonadati; Bacteroidota; Bacteroidia; Bacteroidales; Bacteroidaceae
Also listed under: 2 other names
Description: tRNA-Met
Rfam family: tRNA
About the family: Transfer RNA (tRNA) molecules are approximately 80 nucleotides in length.
Source: RNAcentral
CGCGGAGUAGAGCAGUGGUAGCUCGUCGGGCUCAUAACCCGGAGGUCGUAGGUUCGAGUCCUGCCUCCGCCACCA